RNAcentral lists this long non-coding RNA (897 nucleotides) under Gallus gallus (chicken). RNAcentral's name for it is "long non-coding RNA NONGGAT008668". The record is from RNAcentral. Lineage: Eukaryota; Metazoa; Chordata; Aves; Galliformes; Phasianidae.
GUGCGGGAGCCGCAACAGCUACGCAAUCUCCGCAGCCGGCUCCUGCUAAAGGGCUGGUCUCUCUCUAGAGUACGGAAAUGACGUAGCCCGCCCCUCCUCGCCGCUCGCUGCCCGGCGCCGAUUGGCUCGGCCGUCCCCUCGCGCGCUGCGCCCGCCGCCGGUCGGCUCGUGUGGCGUGAGCGCGGGAGUGUGAGGGCUGACAGGGAGGAGAGGAGGGCGGCAGAGGAGCCGCAGAGCGUCAGCCCGCGGGGCUACGUGUGCUGCGGCCGGCAGGUGUGCCGCACGGACAUGCUGCAGUGCACCGAGAUAGUUUCAGUAGCCGCUGGGGAUGGCGGAGCCAGUGUCCGGGGGGACAGACAGGUACUGCUCGGUGCUGCGCCUCGCGGCCCGGCGCUGCCGUCCGGGAGAGCGUGAAGGGUGAAUGACGCUGGUUUAAGCGUACGGAGAAAUCUUAUUUUCCUCUUAAGUCCACUGAAGUGUCUGAGAGUCGGUGCGCUAAAGCAGCGAGAGUUGCCUUUCUCUUACUGUGGCUUUGAAUUAACGCUUUCUGAACGCAGCGCCGCCGCGCGGGGAGUCGAAGCGUCCCUCAGGAUUCACUGCUACGCGUUUCUGAAGUUUGGCCUCUGUGGUAUCUUCGGCGUUAUUCAAACUGCUUUCUGCUAAGCCCCAAAAAUUCCAGAGCAUUGCCAGCCUUGAGCUUAUCCUGCAAAAACAAAACACCCGUGUAUGUUUGCUGCUCUCGCUCGGGCGGGAAGGCAGACGUCCGCGUCCCGAGGCUUUCAGCCGUGCCUUACAGCGCCCUCGUGAGCCGCGGCACGGACACCGAAUGGCCCUUUCAGCCUUAGCAGCGAUCAGUGCGCUCUCCUGAUCUGGCAGUGCUUUAUCUUUUUUUUUCUU